CACACACACACACACACACACACACGAACUGCAACUGUUAUUUGAGCAACACUCCACUCUUUUAUGAGCAGAGUUAACACGUUGAAAAAAACUAUAACUGAUUCAAUGUUAUACCCACAACUACACAGUUUCUCAAUCUUUUCUUGGCUGCCACCCUAUUUUUACACCCUAACAUCCUCAUGACUCCUGCAAUAGGAUGACUCCUCCUGGAUUUGGUGACCCCCUUCCUCUAGUGCAACAAUCAGGUAAAUAUUUCCCCCGAUCAACACUUUGGUGGUCAAUAGUUGACUUGAAAUGUUCAUGUUCCCCAGUGAAUAGAUUUUGGUCAAAACUUUGCAGACACGGUAUAUCUCAUUAUAUUAUGGUCAGAUGAUAACUUCUUAUUUUACAUGUUGAUUAUUAAACUGUUAAUGACUUUCUAAUGAUUCCUUCAAAGCGUCCUGUAAAGAACUAUGUAAUUUACUUAUUAUAGAUAAAACAGAGACUGUUUUAAAUUGCUACACUUCUAAUUAACUGCUAAAGUGGAGUGACCUAAAGUCUUUUAGUCAGUUCACAGAAGGUCAGCUGAACAUACAAAAGUAUGCAAUUUGUGUACAGGCACGCAUACAACUCAACAUGUACAUAGAAGAAUUUAGUUUCCAAUAAUAAAUGAAUAAGGAAACAUUUGCUAGGGUUUAAAUGAAGCCGUACAUGCUCCCAUUGUGAUCACUUUUUAUUUUAGUAAUGCUAUGUCCUUUCCUGUAGUGCCACCUUCAGGAAAAAAUAACAUUUUUGGCCCAUGUUGCUUGCAAGGCGCUAAAAAUAGGUUAACUAUCAGUAUGUUUUACAUUCUGAGCAACAUCUUCAUCUGUGGGGUGCAAUAACAGCCUUUGCCUUGAUUUCAUGGGCAUGUUGACAAAUUAGUAAUUUAAGAAAACAGUUUAUGCACAAGCUUAAAGAGAUAAGAACACAAUGUUAAUGUAUACUUUACAAAACAUUCACAAAGAAGCCAUGAAUAUCUUAACAAAAAAUGGAAAUGAGAAGCAUUAUGUAGGCAUUAUGUUGCAUAAUCAUAGAGACACAACAUUCUCCACUUGGCUAAUUUUCAUCAUCUAAUAUUCAACCAAUCAAUAUGCUCUGUGUUGGUUUGCUACAGCACAUUUAUGUCAGCAGAGCUCUCCAGAGAAUACAGGGGCAUCCAUAAACAAAUCUUGGAAAACAAAGGAGUGGAACAUGUCUGUACUUUUUAAUUUAAGGGAAAACAACGGUCAGCUAAACUCUUUCACUUUCUCAAGUUGUUUCCUGGCCAAAACCAGAGAGCAGAAGAAGACAUGGAGACUGAUACUUUAAAGACAGUGCAUUAGGAUGAUGCUUCCAGCAGUGAAACAAGGAUCUGUUAUUUUGGUCCACAAGAUCACUCCGGCCAAGUGUUGUCAUCUAUCCUGCAUACUCAGUAACAUUACAGUUGCGGUCUUUUACAACAUUUUGUUCACGUGUAGAAUAAUUUAAAUGAUCUGUCCUUGACUGUAGAAUCAAUGUAAAUUAAUGUCCCUCAGAGUGCAGGAACGAGUCAUUGACAUGAUGAGAAGAAAAACUACAAAUAAAUGUAUAUGAUCAUUACCUUUUAGUGGCUACUUAUGUGUAGCCAUUUGUGUAGAUUUACUAUGAUCAGGUGAUACUGUAAAGCUGAUUCUCUGUUUUGUCAGAGGAUUAAGACAAUAACUUAUUUGCGGCUGCCUAACACUAAGCAGGUGGCAGCCUGACUUUUUAUUAUGACAACAUCAGACAAAGCAG
Thunnus maccoyii (southern bluefin tuna) is the source of this 1773-nucleotide long non-coding RNA. RefSeq lists it as uncharacterized. Lineage: Eukaryota; Metazoa; Chordata; Actinopteri; Scombriformes; Scombridae. The transcript is spliced from 2 exons. The record is from RefSeq and is a predicted model, not a curated record.